CGAAGUCUGGUGCCAGCAGCCGCGGUAAUUCCAGCUCCAAUAGCGUAUAUUAAAGUUGUUGCAGUUAAAAAGACUCGUAGUUGAAUUUCGGGACUAAUAUGUCGGUCGUACUUUGUACGUACUAACAUUAUUGGUUUCUUCCUUCUGACGAACCACGAUGUCAUUAAUUUGGUGUCGCGGGAAAUCAGGACUGUUACUUUGAAAAAAUUAGAGUGUUUAAAGCAAGCUCGCGCUUGAAUACAUUAGCAUGGAAUAAUGAAAUAGGACGUUUGAUUCUAUUUUGUUGGUUUCUAGGAUCGACGUAAUGAUUAAUAGGGAUAUUGGGGGCAUUAGUAUUCAAUUGUCAGAGGUGAAAUUCUUGGAUUUAUUGAAGACUAACUACUGCGAAAGCAUUUGCCAAGGAUGUUUUCAUUAAUCAAGAACGAAAGUUAGGGGAUCGAAGACGAUCAGAUACCGUCGUAGUCUUAACCAUAAACUAUGCCGACUAGGGAUCGGAUGAUGUUAAUUUUUUAAUGACUCAUUCGGCGUCUUACG
This 534-nucleotide ribosomal RNA is filed under the name uncultured Glomus. RNAcentral describes it as "SSU rRNA". It matches the Rfam family "Eukaryotic small subunit ribosomal RNA", at positions 555 to 1092 of the family's 1831-position model. The record is from RNAcentral. Lineage: Eukaryota; Fungi; Glomeromycota; Glomeromycetes; Glomerales; Glomeraceae.